RNAcentral lists this long non-coding RNA (3164 nucleotides) under Sus scrofa (pig). Its description in RNAcentral is "lncRNA (ENSSSCG00015034595.1)". Lineage: Eukaryota; Metazoa; Chordata; Mammalia; Artiodactyla; Suidae. The record is from RNAcentral.
UUUUUUUUUUUUUUUCUUUUUUUUUUUCCUUUCCCCACAACUUCAUCCUUUUUUGCAAGCUGUUUUUGUCACCUGAAGUCCCCAAGCCCAAACUCCUCAGGCUGCUCAUCCUUCAGGAUGCAGUUCCAAAAGCAUCUUCUCUGAGAGGCCCUUCCUGACGGCUGACACUUCCUAUACCUUGUCUCGCCCUCUUUGCCUCUAUGUGUCUCUCUCCCUGACCAGUCUUCAAGCUUCUUUUGCCAAAUGAGCCCAUCUCCUGAGCUCAGCAUAGCACCAGCAUAGCCUACGAGGUGAGGAAAUGUUUGAUGAUCCAUAAAGGAAUGGAGCGUCUGAAGGAUUCAGUUCCCUCGACGGAGUGGGCGAGUGCUUAUUAAAUGAACAUCGAUCCCCGCAGCAACAAGUUAAUGAAGUAAUUGUUCACAAUUCCAUAUAUUGACAAGGGACACAAAGUAAUAACAUCAGCUAACAUUCGCAGACGGCCAAUUAUCCUGGGCUCCGGUGCUUGGUCCUUCACCACUGAUUAUCUUAUUUCAUCUUCAUCUCACAACAACUCGACAUGUAAGUGCUAUUAGAGCGCCCACUUUACAGAUGAGAAAAAUGGAGGCAUCAUGCUAGAGUCUUUAAGAACACGGUUCAGAAGUUCCCAUUGUGGCUCAGCAGUAACGAGCCGGACUAGUAUCCUUGAGAAUGCGGGUUCGAUCUCUGGCCUUGCUCAGUGGGUUAAGGAUCUGACGUGGCCGUGAGCCGUGGUGUAGGGUGCAGGCAUGGCUCGGAUCUGGUGUUGCUAUGGCUCUGGGGCAGACCAGCAGGGGUAGCUCCAAUUCGACCCACAGCCUGGGAACGUCCAUAGGUCACAGGUGCGCCCCUAAAAAAAGCAAAAAAGAAAAAGAAAAAAGAAAAAGAGCACCGUCCAUUCUGGGACUUGUUUAUUUUACUAAGGAGUCACAACGCUCACUUCUUGGGUCUUCCAUUUGCCACGGGGGAUGUGGUGACUGUCAGGGGUGGCAGGAGAAGACGCCAUCAGGCUCUUCUGGUCCCUUGCCUCCCUCCUUGUCCCCUGUGUGCUACAUUAACAGAAAGAGUCUGUCCCAUGCAGCUCUACUGCGGGGUCCCACAGGAUGCCUGCCCCUUCCUCUCCCGUUGGAGCUGGUCCCUCCCCCCCAGUUCUCCUUCGAGUCCACCGGGCGUCGUCAGCGCGGAAGUGAAACGAGGAGGCAUCUUCCUGCUCCUCUAACAUCUGCGUAUCUACCUUGUUUUGAGGACCUCAGGCCGCCCUUCAUCUCCCUCAUCCUCUGCGGCCCUUACUCCACCCCGUGAGGUAGGUGUCCUAUCCUGAAGCCACGCACGUGAGGCACCUGACAGCCCCAGAGGUUUAGAAGCUUGUCUAACAUCCGAGAAGGUGGACGCAGAGCGCAGGUUCAAACCGAGGCCCAUCUGCCUCCCAGCGACGCCGCUGAUCAACUAUCUCUGAAGCCCCCCCGCUUUGGACAUGCUCGGCAACACCCAGCAUGUUGUCACUAAAACCCUUUUUGGUGCCGGGGACUGGAAUCUCCUUCUCUGGUUCUUGGUCAAGGUCUCCUUUGAAGCGUGACCUUGGUGGCAGCUUUUCGGUCUGCUCAGAAAAAGUCCCACAGACGCCAUCCGCCGGUGUGAAGUCAAAGACGGUGGCCAAGUGUGAUGGCAGGGAAGACGAGCCGUGUCUCCAGCUGGGAGACUCAGAUCCUUCCCGCGACUGACACCUUUCUCCCCUCUGCUUUUUCGCCUUUUUUUUUUUGUCUUUUUGCCUUUUCUAGGGCCGCUCUGUCGGCAUAUGAAGGCUCCCAGGCUAGGGGUCGAAUCGGAACUGUAGCCACCAGUCUACACCACAGCCACAGCAAUGCAGGGUCCGAGCCACGUCUGCCGCCUACACCAUAGCUCACGGCAACGCUGGAUCCUGAACCCACUGAGCAAGGGCAGGGAUCGAACCCGCAACCUCAUGGUUCCUAGUCGGAUUCAUUAACCACUGCGCCACGACGGGAGCUCCUCUCCCCUCUGCUUUUCAGCAACACAUGCGCUCCUAGUUUGCAGGCAGCUAUCGCUGGUGACCUGGAUGCUGAGAGCCUGUUAUGAAACGAGGCAGCAGCAGGAGAGAGGAGCCCAGAGCCCACGCCCACCCUGUUUGCUUUGUGAAAUUCCAGACAGUUGAAUCGGCUCUACCUCAUCCGAAGAACUCCAGAUUCCCCUUUUCUUAAUGACGUUCCCCUCCUUAAAUGCCUACACAGUUAUCUUUGAAGGAGAAAGAGAAGAGGUGAAUCACUAGCAGGAAGCGGAGGGGAGAGGUGUGCAGUUGGAACGGCAGAUGGCUGCGCGUGUGGGCACGAAGCGGUCUCUGCUGCUCCUUCCACCUCCCUCCGGAAUCGAGUGCUUUGGAAGCAGACAUUCAUUCCAGGGUGGGGGCGCUCAGGUACCAACAUGUAAUUCCACAUCCGCUCGGAUCCCUCUCAGACAUCGCAACUCGGGCUCGGGCUCAAAUUGGGCUGUUUACCCUCUUCUCGAAGCUUUGGCAUUAAACUGUCCAAAGAAAAGGGGAUAAACUCGUCUCACUUAGUGGCAACAGAAUUGGGCCUGCGGUCUGCUUUCUCCUGAGGACAUCCAGUCAGUGCAUGAAUAUUUUCUCGCGCCACAGUACAAGCUCUCUAACCUCAUAAGGGGUUAGAAACGCCUAGAGGGGAGCUGGAGGAGAGAGACUACAUGCAGAUAGCGAUCUGCGGUAAGCAGGAAAACACAGACUGUUCUCGGUGGGGCUUUUGAUGGCGGGGUGCGGAGAGGACAUGAAGACAGGGUGACCUUGGGGAUCCAUGCCCGUGUGUUGCUCCCUAAAGCUACCCUCUGGUUGUAUGAAUGCAGGUGACACCAAAACUGUGGUCAUUUCACUUGGUUUUAAUUGAAAUAAGUUUCUAGAAUCUCAAGAAUCCAAGAGAAUGUACAUUUUUUGAGAAACCAACUUUUUGCAGAAGGCUUUACGUAGGCCCUCCUGUUACCUCUAUGUAAAUGUCCACAUGUCAUCUGGAUGGAUAUACUAGGAGAAGUAAUUAUGGUUAUUUCAUUUUUAGAUUAUGAAACUCAGUCCAUCCACAGACUCUCUUCCAUUGAUUUUUCUUCUCACUUCCAUCACCGCCAUCUGC